GGAGGGUGCGAGCGUUGUCCGGAAUCAUUGGGCGUAAAGGGCGCGUAGGUGGCCCGGUCAGUCUUUGGUGAAAGCGCGGGGCUCAACCCUGCGUCGGCCAGGGAUACUGCCGCGGCUCGAGCACUGUAGAGGCAGGCGGAAUUCCGGGUGUAGCGGUGGAAUGCGUAGAGAUCCGGAAGAACACCGGUGGCGAAGGCGGCCUGCUGGGCAGUCUGGCUGACACUGAGGCGCGACAGCGUGGGGAGCAAACAGGAUUAGAUACCCUGGUAGUCCACGCCGUAAACGAUGGGCACUAGGCGCUUGGGGGAGCGACCCCCCGAGGGCCGGCGCUAACGCAUUAAGUGCCCCGCCUGGGGAGUACGGCCGCAAGGCUG
RNAcentral lists this ribosomal RNA (374 nucleotides) under uncultured bacterium. RNAcentral's name for it is "bacterial SSU rRNA". It matches the Rfam family "Bacterial small subunit ribosomal RNA", at positions 527 to 896 of the family's 1533-position model. The record is from RNAcentral.